GCCGGCAGCUAGCUCUCUGCAACUUUCAAAUGGUCCACCACUGGAGCUAAGCAGAGCUGCUCCUAGUCACUACCUGGAUGGGAGACCACAUGGGAAAGCUAGGUUGCUGCCAGAA
Ribosomal RNA from Danio rerio (zebrafish), 115 nucleotides. NCBI's taxonomy places the organism in Eukaryota, Metazoa, Chordata, Actinopteri, Cypriniformes, Danionidae. The record is from Ensembl.